Diceros bicornis minor is the source of this 352-nucleotide long non-coding RNA. RefSeq lists it as uncharacterized. The transcript has 3 exons. NCBI's taxonomy places the organism in Eukaryota, Metazoa, Chordata, Mammalia, Perissodactyla, Rhinocerotidae. The record is from RefSeq and is a predicted model, not a curated record.
ACUCAGGGCCUAUCAGCCCAUCCUUUAUUCCUCAACUUCUACGUACAGGAUAUUUGGAGAACCGGAUCUUUCCGCUCCGCAUCACCAAGGAGUUGCCUGAGAGUCCAAUAGUCCCAAAGCCUGAUCAUCACCCUCCAGGCCUCCAGAGGAACAGUUGCAAAGUCAGGGAAGCUGGCCUGCUACUUGGAUGAGUGAAAUUUUUUUCUCUGGCCACAGUCUAUCCAGGAUGGAGCCUACAUUGCUCAGCCUCUGCAGUCUGCCUUUACUUGCUGGCCCCGGCCCCUAACCCCUGUGUCGAGCCCACAUGACUCCAUUCUGCCCCCAGGAGCAUCCUCCAAUCAAAAUAUUAUCA